This 326-nucleotide ribosomal RNA is filed under the name Mesofila sp. Its description in RNAcentral is "SSU rRNA". The stretch from base 113 to 326 matches the Rfam family "Eukaryotic small subunit ribosomal RNA", at positions 741 to 955 of the family's 1831-position model. Lineage: Eukaryota; Cercozoa; Mesofilidae. The record is from RNAcentral.
GAUUUCUGGCGUGGUGCCUUCCGUCCGCCGCUGUCAAGCGUCCGAGUACGGGAGUUUUGUGCCUGCCAUCCUUCUAGGGAGCGCGUCUGCCCUUUACUGGGUCGGGCGCGCGACCUGGAUCGUUUACUUUGAAAAAAUUAGAGUGUUUAAAGCAGGCGAUUGCCUCUGAAUACAUUAGCAUGGAAUAAUAAUCUAGGACUUCGGUUCUAUUUUGUUGGUUUCUAUAACUGAAGUAAUGAUUGAUAGGGAUAGUUGGGGGUGCUAGUAUUGGCCGGUCAGAGGUGAAAUUCUUGGAUUCGGUCAAGACUAACUUAUGCGAAAGCAUU